Molecule: non-coding RNA, 924 nt
Organism: Salmo salar (Atlantic salmon)
Lineage: Eukaryota; Metazoa; Chordata; Actinopteri; Salmoniformes; Salmonidae
Source: RefSeq, a predicted model, not a curated record
UAACAUCUGCUAACCAUGUGUAUGUGACCAAUAAAAUGUGAUUUGAUUUGAGGUAGCUGGCUACUAGCUUAGCCAGACUGAGAAGCCGCAUGGCUGACGUCGGCCAGCAUACGGUUCUGUGAAAACAGUGCCUCCGUGUUUGGCUACGGCCCAUAGGGGUACUACAUUGCUGGAGCUCCUUUGCCUAUUAAGGGCCAGGCUUCAGGCGGGAUAUACAGUAUCAGGCAGUCUCUGUCCACACCCCUCCCCAUAAGUGGCUUAAUAGUGGGAUUCAUUGCUGAUUCCUCCCUGUAGCUCACUGGUCCCUAUGAGGUGCUUAUUGAUAAUGGUCCCUAUGAGGUGCUUAUUGAUACUGGUCCCUAUGAGGUGCUUAUUGAUACUGGUCCCUAUGAGGUGCUUAUUGAUACUGGUCCCUAUGAGGUGCUUAUUGAUACUGGUCCCUAUGAGGUGCUUAUUGAUACUGGUCCCUAUGAGGUGCUUAUUGAUACUGGUCCCUAUGAGGUGCUUAUUGAUACUGGUCCCUAUGAGGUGCUUAUUGAUACUGGUCCCUAUGAGGUGCUUAUUGAUACUGGUCCCUAUGAGGUGCUUAUUGAUACUGGUCCCUAUGAGGUGCUUAUUGAUACUGGUCCCUAUGAGGUGCUUAUUGAUACUGGUCCCUAUGAGGUGCUUAUUGAUACUGGUCCCUAUGAGGUGCUUAUUGAUACUGGUCCCUAUGAGGUGCUUAUUGAUACUGGUCCCUAUGAGGUGCUUAUUGAUACUGGUCCCUAUGAGGUGCUUAUUGAUACUGGUCCCUAUGAGGUGCUUAUUGAUACUGGUCCCUAUGAGGUGCUUAUUGAUACUGGUCCCUAUGAGGUGCUUAUUGAUACUGGUCCCUAUGAGGUGCUUAUUGAUACUGGUCCCUAUGAGGUGCUUAUUGAUACAGGU